Molecule: long non-coding RNA, 2377 nt
Organism: Fukomys damarensis (Damara mole-rat)
Lineage: Eukaryota; Metazoa; Chordata; Mammalia; Rodentia; Bathyergidae
Exons: 3
Source: RefSeq, a predicted model, not a curated record
AGCCUCUAAGCACAUCUCUCUGCCCAGGAACCCUGCACACCGUCCUGAACACCGUGGGGACGGCCACCUCUUGGCACUGCACACUCAGGCUGCGCUUCCUCCAGGGAACACAGGCUCACUGUCCCCCUCCAGUCCCACACAGAGCCCUCCUGCACCCACCUCUGCCACCACCUUCGCUGCUGGUGACUGCAUACCUGGCCAGGGUGUCCUUCAUAUCCUGCAGAGGACAGGGAGGAGAGCAGGAAAUGGACUUAGCUCUCAACUGCCACCCCCAUGUCAUUCUCUCUUGUCCACUUCUCUGGGACAGAUUAAAAAUGUCCUUUCUGCCAGAAACUGAACUCCCACACCCACCAGGAGUCCCAGGGGCUUACCCUGACCCUGUGCAUGAGGAGGCUGGAAGGCCUGGAGAAGCUGUUCUCCUGUUCCCUUGAUGAUCUUUGUGGCUUCUCUGCCAUGUCUGAAUGUAAGUUUCACUGCUCUUGUACUUUGGGGGCAUUUUAAAGUAAGAUGGGGCUGCUACAGAUGUUGCUACUAUCCGUCUGGUAACAGAAUGGCUAAGAGAUUAAUGGACAGGGAAAUUCAUACAUGGUGUGGGUCUCUGAACAAAGUGGCUGGGAUGCAGCUGGACAGUGAGAUUUCAUCACACUGCUCAGAAUUCCAUGCAAUUUAAAGCUUAUGAUUGUUUAAUUCUGCAGUUUUCUACUUAGUAUUUUUGGGCUGAGGAUGACCAUGGGUAACUGAAACCUUGAAAACUGAGACUGGAUGUGGGGAGCUUCCGCUGUAGGUGCUCCCUAAGUGGGUGCAAGACCAACGAGAUGCACAGAAUUGUCAUGGAGAAGGGAUGCCAACUAUGAAGUGACCAACCCUGUGCUCUGACUCUGAUCACUCCAGCUCCUUCAGUCUUUGAAACCCAUUUUCUCUAGUCGGCUCACUUGCCAUAUCAUGUGGGAUGAGUUUCCUGACUCUAGAACUGAAGGUAAAGCCACCAAGCCCUUUGCUGGGUGUAAUGCCAUGGCUUAUGUCCCAGUACUUCCAGGAUGACCUGUGCCCAGGAGCUCCAGGCCAGCCUGGGCAACAUGGUGGAGGGAGAAAAACCAUCAUGUGGAAGCUGUACUCCCUGUACCAGGGGAGAAGUAACUUGUCCUCAUGGCUGAGGACAGAGGUUGAACUGAAGAAUCUGUACCAGUGGAUCCUGUGAACUGGCCCCCAUCCUCUGGUCACUUCUCUACCUGGCUACCUACCCCAGUCAAGAGCUCCUGUGCUUGUUCUCCACCCUUCAGUUUCCUCCUUGUCCAUGUUGGCAGUCAUCCCCCAGUGCCAUGCCAGGAAAAGGGUACAGGGAGCUGGAGCUGUGGGGGUCAGACCGGGCCUGGGCCUUGGCAGUCUUGUCAGCACUCACCUGUUCUGUCCCAGGAGCCAUUGUACCCUUCCAUGGUGGGGUCCUGCCCAUGGGUGAUACAGCCCACCCACAAACACACUCCUACCCUUGGGGCUUUUGACCUUUGCUCCCCACCUUGUACUCCCGCAGGGCUUCCUCCACAGGCAGCACCCUGUGCUCCCGGUGUUCCUGCGCCUCCCUGCACACGACGCAGAUGGGGCUCUGGUCCUCCAGGCAGAACAGCUUGAUGGGCUCCUGGUGCGCUGGGCACAGGUCCCGCUCCUGCAGCCCAUGGUGUUGCCGUGCCAUCUCUGCCACCUUGGUCAGCAAACGGUUGGGCCGCAGGUUCUGCUGGGGUGACAUCUCCCUGCACUCUGGGCAGGAGAAGAAUCCCUUCUGCCUCCUCCUCCCUUUCUUGCCUUUUGCCUUCUCCCAGUUUGUCUGGAUGCAGGUGCGGCAGAAGUUGUGGCCACAGGCAGUCAUCACGGGGUCCGUGAAAUAGUCAAGGCAGAUGGAGCAUGUGGCUUCCUCUUGCAGCUUUCUGGCCAGUUCUACAGCAUCCAUGGCUCCUGGGAGGACCUCAGGGCCUGGAGGUUAGACCCAAACCCCAGACCUGGGCUGCAGUGGCUCUGUGUGCCAACCCUUUCACAGAGGAGAACUGGGGUUGUGUGAGGGGCCCACACUGACUCUUUCAGUUUUGUUAACAACAAAGAAAUGCCUCUUGGAAACUGCAAAGACCCUUUGACCAGAUGCAUCCAGGAGCCUCUGGCCAUGCACAAAGCACGGCCCAGACCCCACCCUGCUGUCAGUCUCCUGGACACCUGGCCAAGUCCUCAUCCCUCCCAUGAAGCCUAAACCCUGUGCACCCACUAGACCCAUUCAGGGAUAAACCUCUCCACUCUUUCUCUGUCCCUAGCUGCCUUUUCUGUUGGCAUUGAACCUCAUCCCUUCUCUAGGGUGACACUCUUGCUGCAAGAAGCUCCAAUAAAGAGCCCUUUA